Molecule: ribosomal RNA, 912 nt
Filed under: Sutcliffiella horikoshii
Lineage: Bacteria; Bacillati; Bacillota; Bacilli; Caryophanales; Bacillaceae
Description: bacterial SSU rRNA
Rfam family: Bacterial small subunit ribosomal RNA
Source: RNAcentral
UGGCGGCGUGCCUAAUACAUGCAAGUCGAGCGGACAUUUUAAAAGCUUGCUUUUAAAAUGUCAGCGGCGGACGGGUGAGUAACACGUGGGCAACCUGCCUGUAAGACUGGGAUAACUUCGGGAAACCGGAGCUAAUACCGGAUAAUAUAAGGAACCUCCUGGUUCCCUAUUGAAAGAUGGUUUCGGCUAUCACUUACAGAUGGGCCCGCGGCGCAUUAGCUAGUUGGUGAGGUAACGGCUCACCAAGGCGACGAUGCGUAGCCGACCUGAGAGGGUGAUCGGCCACACUGGGACUGAGACACGGCCCAGACUCCUACGGGAGGCAGCAGUAGGGAAUCUUCCACAAUGGACGAAAGUCUGAUGGAGCAACGCCGCGUGAGCGAUGAAGGCCUUCGGGUCGUAAAGCUCUGUUGUUAGGGAAGAACAAGUGCGAGAGUAACUGCUCGCACCUUGACGGUACCUAACCAGAAAGCCACGGCUAACUACGUGCCAGCAGCCGCGGUAAUACGUAGGUGGCAAGCGUUGUCCGGAAUUAUUGGGCGUAAAGCGCGCGCAGGUGGUCCUUUAAGUCUGAUGUGAAAGCCCACGGCUCAACCGUGGAGGGUCAUUGGAAACUGGGGGACUUGAGUGCAGAAGAGGAAAGUGGAAUUCCAAGUGUAGCGGUGAAAUGCGUAGAGAUUUGGAGGAACACCAGUGGCGAAGGCGACUUUCUGGUCUGUAACUGACACUGAGGCGCGAAAGCGUGGGGAGCAAACAGGAUUAGAUACCCUGGUAGUCCACGCCGUAAACGAUGAGUGCUAAGUGUUAGAGGGUUUCCGCCCUUUAGUGCUGCAGCUAACGCAUUAAGCACUCCGCCUGGGGAGUACGGUCGCAAGACUGAAACUCAAAGGAAUUGACGGGGGCCCGCACAAG